This 662-nucleotide unclassified non-coding RNA is filed under the name Hevea brasiliensis (rubber tree). The record is from RNAcentral. Lineage: Eukaryota; Viridiplantae; Streptophyta; Magnoliopsida; Malpighiales; Euphorbiaceae.
UUCCUUCCCCCUGGCUCUUCUUGGUACUGUUUUUGGGAGAAACUGGAGUGGCGCUCCAAACAAUCCAUGCCGUGUCAAGACCAUACCUCGGCCUAUUCCCGAAAAGAAGUGGUAUCUGACACCAUCUGUAGUUUCCUUGAUGGGAGGAUUGCUGCCAUUUGGAAGCAUAUUUAUUGAGAUGUAUUUUGUCUUCACCUCCUUCUGGAAUUACAAGGUAUACUAUGUGUAUGGAUUUAUGCUUCUGGUGUUUCUGAUCCUCAUUAUUGUUACGGUCUGCGUGACUAUUGUGGGAACAUAUUUCCUACUAAAUGCUGAAAAUUAUCAUUGGCAGUGGACUUCGUUUUCCUCAGCUGCCUCUACCGCUGUCUAUGUAUACCUGUACUCUGUAUAUUAUUAUUAUGUGAAGACUAAGAUGUCAGGGUUCUUUCAGACCAGCUUCUACUUUGGCUAUACACUGAUGUUUUGUCUUGGCUUAGGGAUUCUCUGCGGAGCUGUUGGAUUUUUGGGCUCUAACCUAUUUGUGAGGAGGAUUUAUAGAAACAUCAAAUGUGACUGAUUUUCUUUGGAAGGAUAGAGUUCAAUGUCCUUAUUUACGUGGUCAGUGGCUGUGAGGUCAAGAAGAGUAUCAAGUAUCUUCAUGGGGUUAUUCAGUCAACUGCUGG